CGGUGACCGAUAUCCAAGAAAAAUACACUCAGUAAAUAUUUACUCUACAGUAUAUCAUAUAUACUGUAUGUGUCCUAUUUCCUGAAAGUAUUUUACUUUAAACAGAGUUUACAUGAUACUGUAAUUAGUUUACUUUAUUUUGUGUUGUCAUACAUAUGAAGUGAAGCAUGUAUAAAUAAACAUGAGGCAAUGUAUUUAUGAUUGCAUAUGUUAUUGUAGUGUACUUGACUCUUAUUAUGAAGUCUUUUCAGAGAAUGUUGUGUUUGUGUGUGUUAUCUAAAGGCAACAGGACUGAUUAAUAGCAUGUAGUUGUUUUUGUCCCCUCAUACUAUCCAUCCAUCCAGGUGCUCCACACUCCAGCCCAGCAGGUGGCAAAAUCCCUUUAACGCUGGUUUGCCACAGGCAUUAAAUGACAAAAGAAGUAGAAGUAGUUCAGUUUUUAAGUAAAUUGUGUACUAAAUAGUAUCCCGUUUUACCCCACAUAUUAAGUUAUAGGAAACCAUCAACCACUGAGAUGCACCUUUGCUGUGACGUUUUAACGAGCCUACAAUGAUUUGGAUGUUGUUCAGAUGGCUGUCCAACAGUGGACAGUCUAUGCAAGAUUACAUCAUCAAAAAGGGGACUCGAAGGAGGACCACUGGACUUAGGAAGGCAUUUAGGACAGAGCCCAUAUUUGCAUUGGCCAGACAUGACAUCAUAACGACUGACAGCAGUUUAGAUGAGGACAGAUGAUUAUCCACUGACCCCUGUGGACAGUCGUUUAACUCUUAAUAAAGAUCUGUUGAAAAUGAAUUCA
This is a long non-coding RNA of Cyprinus carpio (common carp), 796 nucleotides long. The record is from Ensembl. Lineage: Eukaryota; Metazoa; Chordata; Actinopteri; Cypriniformes; Cyprinidae.